GACGAACGCUGGCGGCGUGCUUAACACAUGCAAGUCGAACGGAAAGGCCCUGCUUUUGUGGGGUGCUCGAGUGGCGAACGGGUGAGUAACACGUGAGUAACCUGCCCUUGACUUUGGGAUAACUUCAGGAAACUGGGGCUAAUACCGGAUAGGAGCUCCUGCUGCAUGGUGGGGGUUGGAAAGUUUCGGCGGUUGGGGAUUGACUCGCGGCUUAGCAGCUUGUUGGUGGGGUAGUGUCUUACCAAGGCUUUGACGGGUAGCCGGCCUGAGAGGGUGACCGGCCACAUUGGGACUGAGAUACGGCCCAGACUCCUACGGGAGGCAGAAGUGGGGAAUAUUGCACAAUGGGCGGAAGCCUGAUGCAGCAACGCCGCGUGCGGGAUGACGGCCUUCGGGUUGUAAACCGCUUUAGCCUGUGACGAAGCGUGAGUGACGGUAAUGGGUAAAGAAGCACCGGCUAACUACGUG
RNAcentral lists this ribosomal RNA (468 nucleotides) under uncultured bacterium. Its description in RNAcentral is "partial 16S ribosomal RNA". It matches the Rfam family "Bacterial small subunit ribosomal RNA", at positions 28 to 507 of the family's 1533-position model. The record is from RNAcentral.